GGCGGCGCAGCUCGAUGGCGGCGGAGCUCGCGGCCGGCAGGGACGCGCCACGGGGGCAUGGAGAGGGGCUGAGCAGCUCCCUCCGCCCCGCGCUCCGCUCCCUCCCCGGCUCCGCACAGCUCCGCGGUCAGCCCCAGGGGAGGGGUUGGAGGCAACGGCUGGCUGGCGGGCGGCCAGGCCGCAGCCGGACGCCGCCUCCCCCUCCGCGAGCUCGCCGUGACGCCACGCCACAACUCACCUUCACCGAGCCCCCGGCCGCCAUCUUGCGCAAAGAGGGAGGGGGCGGCGCCGAGCGGCCCGGGGUUGGCUCUCCACGAGUAGGUACUGUCUUCGCCUUAUCUCGGAGCAUUCCUAUAAGCAUUAAAGACAAAGCCGGAGUUCUACGCUUAGCCGGUCCCAUCAUCGUCAGGAUGUCUCCGGCACACACGUCAAACAUCGCUAUCAUCCAGUCUCCUGUCCAUAUUUCACCCAGAUCACAGAGCAUGUUCCUGGAGACGCUCUGGUUUCUUUGA
RNAcentral lists this long non-coding RNA (512 nucleotides) under Anser cygnoides (Swan goose). RNAcentral describes it as "lncRNA (ENSACDG00005011134.1)". The record is from RNAcentral. Lineage: Eukaryota; Metazoa; Chordata; Aves; Anseriformes; Anatidae.